GUCUUUAUUAGGCCACAUAAUAACUCAGUCAUACACAACAAGCGUAAAUGUCUCUAGGCCCAAAGCCCGAUCACUAGGUGACCGACCUUUAAGCCCGAGUCAAUGUGACCCACCCUUUCGGGGGGCCAGACGAUUUGUUAAUGAUCCUUCCGCAGGUUCACCUACGGAAA
Molecule: unclassified non-coding RNA, 170 nt
Filed under: uncultured fungus
Lineage: Eukaryota; Fungi
Description: sequence contains ITS1
Source: RNAcentral